CCAUGUGAAGAAAUGGGGAAACUGAGGAGCAGAGAGGUGAACUAACUUGUCCAAAGGCACACAGCAAGGGCUCUGACUCUCCACUUUCUAAGUUUUUUGUUCUUAUCUCUUCACAGUACAUAGCAGGCAUGGUAUGAGGGUGGCGUGCUGCACAAUUUCGCUGUUUGUUUCUCGGAAUAAUAAUUUAUAGGGGACUGCUUCUAGAUUCCAAAGGAAAGAGAAAAAGAAAUAUGCCCCAAACUCAGGCUUUCUGCCUGGCCCUGCCUGACUGUCUGAGCUGCAUUGAACAAAUGAUUUAUUCACUGGCCUUGACCUCAGUGGGUUUGGCCACCCAUUGAGAGUGAAGUCACACCUCCAGCACUGCGAUACAUUCAUUGAUCCACUCACCUAGCUUCGUGGCAGGCAAGAAACAGGCCUAUGUGAGCCUGCCCAGGAUCAGGGACAGGAAAACACACAAGUGUUUCUGGAUAUCCUCAAACUGUUGCUGGGCUGCUCAGUUCUUCCCUAGGAGAUUCUCCGGGGGGCCUGAAUUAGUUUGCUAGGGCUUCCGCAACAAAAUGCCACAGACUGAGCAGCUUAAAUAAAAAUGUAUCAUCUCGUGGUUCUGGAGCCUGAAAGUCUGAGAUCAAGGUGCUGGGCAUUAGGACUUGAACAUAUGUUUUUUGGGGGUACACUUCAACCCAUCGGAGGGCCUGUGCCCCAAAGAGAGCCUCCUUCUGUGUGCAAUGAAGGUGUGAGUUAUAAACAUGAGACGAAAACACCCCUGUUCUUGGAUAGGAUGACUCAAUACCACAAACAGUCCAAUUGGCCCAGCUUCUGUAAUAAAAAUGGUGUACCUGGAAACGAAUAGCCAGACAGACCAAUGGAACAAUGAAGUCCAGAAAUGUAUUCAAGUACACGUGAAGAUUUGGUGCAUGGCCAAGGUGGUGUCUCAGAUCACUGGGACAUAAGACUUGUUAAUAAGCAGUGCUGGAACCAUGGCAUUCCGUUUGGAAAAAAGAUAAAAGUGAAUCCAUACCUCACACCAAACAUCAGAAUAAACACCAAAUGGUCCAGAGAUCCA
Molecule: long non-coding RNA, 1063 nt
Filed under: Piliocolobus tephrosceles (Ugandan red Colobus)
Lineage: Eukaryota; Metazoa; Chordata; Mammalia; Primates; Cercopithecidae
Description: lncRNA (ENSPTEG00000032000.1)
Source: RNAcentral